CAGGAUUAGAUACCCUGGUAGUCCACGCUGUAAACGAUGAGUGCUGGAUGUGGGGGUUUUUACCUCCGUGUUGUAGCUAACGCGUUAAGCACUCCGCCUGGGGACUACGGUCGCAAGACUAAAACUCAAAGGAAUUGACGGGGACCCGCACAAGCGGUGGAGCAUGUGGUUUAAUUCGAUGCAACGCGAAGAACCUUACCACUUCUUGACAUGAAGAUUAGAUCCUCCUUAACAGGAGGGCGCAGUUAGGCUGGGUCUUGCACAGGUGCUGCAUGGCUGUCGUCAGCUCGUGUCGUGAGAUGUUGGGUUAAGUCCCGCAACGAGCGUAACCCUCACCCUUAGUUGCCAGCGGGUAAAGCCGGGGACUUUAAGGGAACUGCCAGUGGUAAGCUGGAGGAAGGUGGGGAUGAUGUCAAGUCAGCAUGGCCCUUAUGGGGUGGGCUACACACGUGCUACAAUGGUGACUACAAUAGGUUGCAAUGUCGUAAGGCUGAGCUAAUCCGGUAAAAGUCAUCUUAGUUCGGAUUGUCCUCUGCAACUCGAGGGCAUGAAGCAGGAAUCGCUAGUAAUCGUGGAUCAGCAUGCCACGGUGAAUACGUUCUCGGGUCUUGUACACACUGCCCGUCACGCCAUGGGAAUUGGCUUAACUC
RNAcentral lists this ribosomal RNA (650 nucleotides) under Anaplasma bovis. Its description in RNAcentral is "bacterial SSU rRNA". It matches the Rfam family "Bacterial small subunit ribosomal RNA", at positions 773 to 1422 of the family's 1533-position model. The record is from RNAcentral. Lineage: Bacteria; Pseudomonadati; Pseudomonadota; Alphaproteobacteria; Rickettsiales; Anaplasmataceae.